GAAGUAUGUCUGGGGAGCUUGUCAGAAAUGCAGAUUCAUGGGCUCAGAACUCAGCGGUUCUGAUUGUCAUGGAGUUUGGAUAAGGCCCAGGAACCAUCGUUUGUAACAGAUCAAUUAGAGAUAAUUCUGUGUUGACACCUCUAUAUCACCCGGACACAGUGCCAGGAACCUGCAGGGACUAUGAAGACAAGGGCAAUGAUCUAGAGAAGCAGUCUGGGACCCUUGAUGACCUUAUGAGCUGGGCCACCAGCCCACCAUGAACCAGCUGCCUCUCUCUGGAUGGCCACAUAAGAGAAAAGUUAACCCACUGAAUUUUGAAUGUUUCUUUGUUACAGCAGCUUAGCCUCUACCC
This 352-nucleotide long non-coding RNA is filed under the name Pan troglodytes (chimpanzee). Its description in RNAcentral is "long non-coding RNA NONPTRT014621". Lineage: Eukaryota; Metazoa; Chordata; Mammalia; Primates; Hominidae. The record is from RNAcentral.